UUUAAAUGCAUGUGCUGUCACAGUCUGCAAGUCCAGUGCAAUGGUACAAUAACUACACACUGUACAUGUAGUCCUAAACUCCAAGUGUUAACUGGGUGUGGCUGGAAAAAGCCUAGCAUGUGUGGCAGGCGUAUCUCUAAGGCAUUCACUUGGUCAAUGAGGAUCUGAAGAUACGCAUCCGCCUCUGCUAGUUUCUUAUCAAAGUCUUUAACCGUUGGCUUAGGACGACGUGAUGAGGCGCCAAACUGCAGAAGGAAAAAGUCCUUCCAGUGUAGCUGUAGCAGUAAUUACAUGAUGACCUAGUUAAAGCGCACUCCUGUUCCAGGCUGGUACAGCAUGACGUUUCAG
Asterias rubens (European starfish) is the source of this 348-nucleotide long non-coding RNA. RefSeq lists it as uncharacterized. The record is from RefSeq and is a predicted model, not a curated record. Lineage: Eukaryota; Metazoa; Echinodermata; Asteroidea; Forcipulatida; Asteriidae. The transcript is spliced from 3 exons.